Molecule: ribosomal RNA, 1087 nt
Filed under: uncultured bacterium
Lineage: Bacteria
Description: bacterial SSU rRNA
Rfam family: Bacterial small subunit ribosomal RNA
Source: RNAcentral
AUGAUGAAGGCCUUCGGGUUGUAAACCUCUUUCAGGAGGGACGAAGCGCAAGUGACGGUACCUCCAGAAGAAGCCCCGGCCAACUACGUGCCAGCAGCCGCGGUAAUACGUAGGGGGCGAGCGUUGUCCGGAUUCAUUGGGCGUAAAGAGCUCGUAGGCGGCUCAGUAAGUCGGCCGUGAAAGCCCAGGGCUCAACCCUGGGAGGCCGGUCGAUACUGCUGUGGCUAGGGUCCGGUAGAGGAGAGUGGAAUUCCCGGUGUAGCGGUGAAAUGCGCAGAUAUCGGGAGGAACACCAGUAGCGAAGGCGGCUCUCUGGGCCGGUACCGACGCUGAGGAGCGAAAGCUAGGGGAGCAAACAGGAUUAGAUACCCUGGUAGUCCUAGCCGUAAACGUUGGGCACUAGGUGUGGCGGAUUCAUUGACAUCUGCCGUGCCGGAGCUAACGCAUUAAGUGCCCCGCCUGGGGAGUACGGUCGCAAGGCUAAAACUCAAAGGAAUUGACGGGGGCCCGCACAAGCGGCGGAGCAUGCGGCUUAAUUCGAUGCAACCCGAAGAACCUUACCUGGGCUUGACAUCAUGGGAAAAACUGUAGAGAUACAGUGUGCUUACGCGUCCAUGACAGGUGGUGCAUGGCUGUCGUCAGCUCGUGUCGUGAGAUGUUGGGUUAAGUCCCGCAACGAGCGCAACCCUUGUCCUAUGUUGCCAGCGGAUAAUGCCGGGGACUCAUAGGAGACUGCCGGGGACAACUCGGAGGAAGGCGGGGACGACGUCAAGUCAUCAUGCCCCUUAUGCCCAGGGCUGCACGCAUGCUACAAUGGCAGGUACAACGGGCUGCGAUCCCGCGAGGGUCAGCCAAUCCCUGAAAGCCUGUCUCAGUUCGGAUUGAAGUCUGCAACUCGACUUCAUGAAGCCGGAGUCGCUAGUAAUCGCAAAUCAGCAAUAUUGCGGUGAAUACGUUCUCGGGCCUUGUACACACCGCCCGUCACAUCACGAAAGUCGGCAACACCCGAAGUCAGUGGCCCAACCUUUUAGGAGGGAGCUGCCGAAGGUGGGGUCGGCGAUUGGGAUGAAGUCGUAACAAGGUAACC